Molecule: long non-coding RNA, 619 nt
Organism: Sapajus apella (tufted capuchin)
Lineage: Eukaryota; Metazoa; Chordata; Mammalia; Primates; Cebidae
Exons: 2
Source: RefSeq, a predicted model, not a curated record
ACCCUGCCUGUGUCUGGAAGAGAGCUGAACACACAGUAGAACACAAUAAAUUAUAUUCAAAUGGCAGUCAAGGAGGAAACUUUCUUUCCUCAUCAACAAAGCUGAUCGAUGGGCACUGAAGCCCCGGGGAAGCAGCAUCUGUUGUAACUCAAGGAUCCCGGCUUGAGCUGAGGAUGAAAUUAACAGGCGCAGAGUCGUUGGCAGCCCAACAUUUGUUCAAGUCUGGCACAUGCACACAUCAUUAGCAACUAUGCUGGAGAAGAAUGAUCAAGGAGGUGAGGAGGGGAAUGGAUCUGAUUAAAGAGAUGUUCAAGGAAGAAAAUUCCAAGCACUUGGAUAAAAGCUUCAUAGCUAAAAUGAAUGAACUCGAGAGCAAAGCAAAUAGCCAGGUACAUUUGGGAGAUGCCGACAGACAAUCUGGAUAACUUUGCCUCUGAAACUUUCAAAACAAAGUCAUUUCAUGCAGCGAAUUCCCCAGAGUGGCUGCCUCUUUCACUUAGCUCCCUCGGCUGUGUCUCCUUCACGAAAUGAAGCCCCCAUGACGGUAAAGAUUUUGCUGUCUUGUUCAUGGCUCCAAUCUUGACUCCUGGUAGAUAAAAUUAAAUAUUCAUGGAAUAAG